This 307-nucleotide unclassified non-coding RNA is filed under the name fungal sp. Its description in RNAcentral is "partial internal transcribed spacer region". The stretch from base 1 to 46 matches the Rfam family "Eukaryotic small subunit ribosomal RNA", at positions 1786 to 1831 of the family's 1831-position model. The record is from RNAcentral. Lineage: Eukaryota; Fungi.
AAGUCGUAACAAGGUUUCCGUAGGUGAACCUGCGGAAGGAUCAUUACCAAAUCCAAAUACCCAAACCCCAUGUGAACUAUUGUUUUUAGUCUGUCUUUGGGAGAAAAUAGCGAAAAUGUAUAUUUAAGAGUUCAUUCUCAUAUUAUAUUUUGGAGCUGUUUCUCCCAAUAGAGUCCGGCGCAAUUUUUUUGAUUUGUGUCCAGAUUCGAAACCCCCCUUUUUAUAAACCACUUGAUUUUUCUGUUGGAAUUUCUUUUAUUAAUUUCAAAUAAAAGACAACUUUUAACGGUGGAUCUCUUGGCUCGUG